CCCCUCUUCCCAAUUUUGACCCAAUUUCAAUAUUUUUAGGGUUUGUUCUUCACAAAUCUCUCAAAUUCUCUUCAAUUUUUACAAAUCUUGUAAAAAGAUUUCUGGGUUUUGUUCCUUGUGGUGUUUAAGACCAGAAAGAUCAAGAAUUUGCAACAAUCAACAGGAAAAAUAUCACCUUUUUUACCAGCUGUAUUCGGACGCGUAUGGAAUGUAUUCAGAUCUUAUGAUGGCGAAUAAUGUUGGUUAUGGAUUGUCAUUUGAGUGGUGAGUUGUUUGUAAAUGAUGGAGGUGUAGAAGAUGUGAAUUGGAUGGAUGCUGGUGGAGUUGUAGGUAGGAAUUUGAGGAGAGAACAGAGAACUCGAGUAAUUUCACUGGAUUGCAUCAUCAUCAUCAUCAUGGGAAUUUGAAUAAUGAAGGGAAUGAAACACAGUAUGGAAGUGAACCUGUUUAUAGAGGGGAUUCUUAGUUUGGAUAUGGGUCAUAUGGUGAUGAAGAGGAUGAUACGACUGUUGUUUUGGGGCAACAAGUUUGGAGGUACUUUCAAUUGCUAAAGAGUUGUGGUGUCAAUACUGAUAUUUAAGAAUCCAAUGGGUUAACAAAGAUGGUGGGAUAUUUGCUGAUGAUUGUGGGAUUGGAAUGUACAAUGAAGUGAAGAAGAGGAGCACAAAUAAAUAGACGUCCAAGUUUUGUUUGUGAAGAUUGUUUUGGCUUUAUUCUUUCUGUUGUAUCUUGUUUACCAUUGUAUAUGAAUCAUGCCUUGAGUUGUUUAAGCUUAUUAUAUUACAUUUUUGU
Long non-coding RNA from Helianthus annuus (common sunflower), 792 nucleotides. RefSeq lists it as uncharacterized. The transcript has 3 exons. The record is from RefSeq and is a predicted model, not a curated record. Lineage: Eukaryota; Viridiplantae; Streptophyta; Magnoliopsida; Asterales; Asteraceae.